AAAUUGUGAUCAGGUUGUGAAUAUGAUUCAGACUUGGCAUUUGAAGUGGCUAAAAACUUUGUAUGUAUAGAUAUAUAAGGUUCUUACAUCGUCUUGCUUGCAAGCUAUAACACAAUUCUUACAAACACCCUUACGCCAACAUUGAAACUCAGGAAUAAGUCUGAAAUUUAUAAUUAUAUGAUUUUUGAAUAUCCAGGUCUUACAGUAUCACUUCCUAAAUCACAUAGUCAUCAACUGAUACGGUCAUCCCCACCUGAGUUAGAAGCAAAGUCAUAAAACACGAUUAGGAAAGUCAAACAUAAAACAGAAGUCAUAAGCCCCGUCACUACAUUCAAGUUGUCGUCAAUACUCUCUCUCUAUCUCAAUAAAGCCUAUUCCUCCUCUAUCUCACUAGGCGUGCGCUCCCAGGUCACAAGGACCUCUCGCGCGAAAGUCUCAUAUGGGUUAAACUUUGCCUAAUAAACUCGAGCAUCACCACCGGUCCUACGUGGUUUGGGAACUUCCUUCCGAACUGGCAUUCUAAGAUGAGGACCUCUAAUCAUUGGGACAUCCAUUGAAAUCUUUGGCUCUAUGGUGAGGUCAGCUACAAAUACAUCAAUAGGAGGUGUAGGGGAGUUGUGAGUUCCGCAUUAGCAUAGUAGUGGUGUACUAGAUAACGGGGUGUCAUGUAGAAAGUAAAGCUCUAGGAAAUGAUACAGGGUAACCAAGGUCUGAAGAAUCUGGACGACGAUACCAAAAAGAGAACAAACCGGCUUAUGUGCAUAUGCAAGUGGUUGGGUCAAUCAUCAAGCCCUCAUGAGUGAUAAAGUCAGCAAGUAUACUCUCCAUGGGAUAAUUCGCCAUCGCUCUUCUACCUGUCAAUGUCUAAAAACAAGGGUGCAAGGAUGAGCCAAAGAAUAAGUAGAGCCUACACAACCAUAUAAAUCAUCAAGACAUAAAUCAUGCGAACUCCUUACAUUCAAUCAAUACUCAUGUCUCAUACCUCAAAUCCUGCAAAACAUCAGACACAUCAAGUAAACAUAUAAGAAUAUGUAAGAUGCAAUGCAUGCCCCACUUUCACAAUGUUGUUAUUCUUCUGCUCAAAAGAUGUAAACGACACCC
Molecule: long non-coding RNA, 1101 nt
Filed under: Lotus japonicus
Lineage: Eukaryota; Viridiplantae; Streptophyta; Magnoliopsida; Fabales; Fabaceae
Description: long non-coding RNA (LJAP_LNC000617)
Source: RNAcentral